UGCNGUCGAGCGGANGAGAAGAGCUUGCUCUUCGAUUCAGCGGCGGACGGGUGAGUAAUGCCUAGGAAUCUGCCUGGUAGUGGGGGACAACGUUUCGAAAGGAACGCUAAUACCGCAUACGUCCUACGGGAGAAAGCAGGGGACCUUCGGGCCUUGCGCUAUCAGGUGAGCCUAGGUCGGAUUAGCUAGUUGGUGAGGUAAUGGCUCACCAAGGCGACGAUCCGUAACUGGUCUGAGAGGAUGAUCAGUCACACUGGAACUGAGACACGGUCCAGACUCCUACGGGAGGCAGCAGUGGGGAAUAUUGGACAAUGGGCGAAAGCCUGAUCCAGCCAUGCCGCGUGUGUGAAGAAGGUCUUCGGAUUGUAAAGCACUUUAAGUUGGGAGGAAGGGCAUUAACCUAAUACGUUAGUGUUUUGACGUUACCGACAGAAUAAGCACCGGCUAACUCUGUGCCAGCAGCCGCGGUAAUACAGAGGGUGCAAGCGUUAAUCGGAAUUACUGGGCGUAAAGCGCGCGUAGGUGGUUUGUUAAGUUGGAUGUGAAAGCCCCGGGCUCAACCUGGGAACUGCAUCCAAAACUGGCAAGCUAGAGUACGGUAGAGGGUGGUGGAAUUUCCUGUGUAGCGGUGAAAUGCGUAGAUAUAGGAAGGAACACCAGUGGCGAANGCGACCACCUGGACUGAUACUGACACUGANGUGCGAAAGCGUGGGGAGCAAACAGGANUAGAUACCCUGGUAGUCCACGCCGUAAACGAUGUCAACUANCCGUUGGNAUCCUUGAGAUUUUAGNNGNNCGGCUAGCGCAUUAAGUUGACCNGCCNGGGGAGUANNGCCGCAAGGUAAAACUCNAAUGA
RNAcentral lists this ribosomal RNA (856 nucleotides) under uncultured bacterium. RNAcentral describes it as "bacterial SSU rRNA". It matches the Rfam family "Bacterial small subunit ribosomal RNA", at positions 56 to 908 of the family's 1533-position model. The record is from RNAcentral.